UUCAUGUUUUGAGUUGAAACAGUCAUGAUGGAUGGUUUCAAACUUGUGUUUUGUGUGUUGUUGUGUCACAAUGUUUUACUCAAAGGGCAAACUUCUCCUGUGGGACAUAAAGCCUACAAUGCUGAUGUUAAGCAAGUACCUUUGGAGAGCAAAGGUAAUCCACUGCCUAUUCCUUAUCAAGUGAACAACAAC
This is a non-coding RNA of Paramisgurnus dabryanus, 192 nucleotides long. NCBI's taxonomy places the organism in Eukaryota, Metazoa, Chordata, Actinopteri, Cypriniformes, Cobitidae. The record is from RefSeq and is a predicted model, not a curated record.